Molecule: small RNA, 80 nt
Filed under: Vibrio mediterranei AK1
Lineage: Bacteria; Pseudomonadati; Pseudomonadota; Gammaproteobacteria; Vibrionales; Vibrionaceae
Description: Vibrio shilonii AK1 isrK Hfq binding RNA
Rfam family: isrK Hfq binding RNA
Source: Rfam by way of RNAcentral
GCACUGGCAAAAUCCAGUGCCGAGUUUCGCAGCUCGAAAAUACUCAAGGCGCAUAGACGCCAGCUUCCUGCUGGUUUUUU